RNAcentral lists this ribosomal RNA (1244 nucleotides) under Lamprochernes savignyi. RNAcentral describes it as "SSU rRNA". It matches the Rfam family "Eukaryotic small subunit ribosomal RNA", at positions 47 to 1289 of the family's 1831-position model. The record is from RNAcentral. Lineage: Eukaryota; Metazoa; Arthropoda; Arachnida; Pseudoscorpiones; Chernetidae.
AGCCAUGCAUGUCUCAGUACACGCCCAUGCACGGCGAAACCGCGAAUGGCUCAUUAAAUCAGUUAUGGUUCCUUAGAUGCUACACGUUAUACUUGGAUAACUGUGGCAAUUCCAGAGCUAAUACAUGCAACUGAGCCUUCCUCCUUCUAGGGGGAGGGUGCUUUUAUUAGACCAAAAUCAAACCGGGCUUGCCCGGUAACUGUGAUGACUCUGGAUAACUAUGGCGGAUCGCACAGUCUUGCACUGGCGAUGCAUCUUUCAAGUGUCUGCCUUAUCAACUGUCGAUGGUAGGUUAUGCGCCUACCAUGGUUGUUACGGGUAACGGGGAAUCAGGGUUCGGUUCCGGAGAGGGAGCCUGAGAAACGGCUACCACAUCCAAGGAAGGCAGCAGGCGCGCAAAUUACCCAAUCCCAGCACGGGGAGGUAGUGACGAAAAAUAACAAUACGGGACUCUUACGAGGCUCCGUAAUUGGAAUGAGUACACUCUAAACCUCUUAACGAGGAUCUAUUGGAGGGCAAGUCUGGUGCCAGCAGCUGCGGUAAGUCCAGCUCCAAUAGCGUAUAUUAACGCUGUUGCGUUUAAAAAGCUCGUAGUUGGAUCUCAGUCGGGCUUCCCAUCGAUACGUCGAAAGGCGCUGGUCGUUGGGGCCGGCAAUACGCUCGUGGGCUUGGUUGGCCUUCAAAAGCUGACCCUGUUUUCGGGCAAUUUUACCUUGAAAAAAUUAGGGUGCUCAAGGCAGGCCGGGACCUGAAUAAUGAUGCAUGGAAUAAUGGAAUAGGACCUCGGUUCUAUUUUGUUGGUUUUCGGAUCCCGGGGUAAUGAUUGAGAGGGACAGACGGGGGCAUUCGUACUGCUACGCUAGAGGUGAAAUUCUUGGACCGUAGCAAGACGAACUACUGCGAAAGCAUUUGCCAAGAAUGUUUUCAUUAAUCAAGAACGAAAGUUAGAGGUUCGAAGGCGAUCAGAUACCGCCCUAGUUCUAACCAUAAACGAUGCCAACCAGCGAUCCGCCAGAGUUCCUUAAACGACUCGGCGGGCAGCUUCCGGGAAACCAAAGUGUGUGGGUUCCGGGGGAAGUAUGGUUGCAAAGCUGAAACUUAAAGGAAUUGACGGAAGGGCACCACCAGGAGUGGAGCCUGCGGCUUAAUUUGACUCAACACGGGGAAACUCACCCGGCCCGGACACCGGAAGGAUUGACGGAUUGAUAGCUCUUUCUCGAUUCGGUGGGUGGUGGUGCAUGGCC